RNAcentral lists this ribosomal RNA (1309 nucleotides) under Clostridioides difficile F525. RNAcentral describes it as "bacterial LSU rRNA". It matches the Rfam family "Bacterial large subunit ribosomal RNA", at positions 1598 to 2925 of the family's 2925-position model. The record is from RNAcentral. Lineage: Bacteria; Bacillati; Bacillota; Clostridia; Peptostreptococcales; Peptostreptococcaceae.
UUUCACACUGUCAAGAAAAGUCUCUAUCGAGGUUAAAGGUACCCGUACCGCAAACCGACACAGGUGGGUGAGGAGAGUAUCCUAAGGCCAGCGAGAGAACUGUUGUUAAGGAACUCGGCAAAAUGACCCCGUAACUUAGGGAUAAGGGGUGCCACCAUCAGGUGGCCGCAGAGAAUAGGCCCAAGCGACUGUUUACCAAAAACAUAGGUUUCUGCUAAGUCGCAAGACGAUGUAUAGGAGCUGACGCCUGCCCGGUGCUGGAAGGUUAAGGGGAUCUGUUAGAGAAUCGAAGCAGUGAACUUAAGCCCCAGUAAACGGCGGCCGUAACUAUAACGGUCCUAAGGUAGCGAAAUUCCUUGUCGGGUAAGUUCCGACCCGCACGAAAGGCGUAACGAUUUGGGCACUGUCUCAACAACAGACUCGGUGAAAUUGUAAUUCCGGUGAAGAUGCCGGAUACCUGCGACAGGACGGAAAGACCCCAUGGAGCUUUACUGUAGCUUGACAUUGGGUCUUGGUACUACAUGUACAGGAUAGGUGGGAGGCUUUGAAACCAGGACGCCAGUUUUGGCGGAGCCAUCCUUGGGAUACCACCCUUGUAGUACUGGGACUCUAACCAUAGGCCAUGAAUCUGGUCUUGGGACACUGUCAGGUGGGCAGUUUGACUGGGGCGGUCGCCUCCCAAAAGGUAACGGAGGCGCUCAAAGGUUCUCUCAGUACGGUCGGAAAUCGUACGUAGAGUGUAAAGGCAAAAGAGAGCUUGAUUGCAAGACAUACAGGUCGAGCAAGGAUGAAAAUCGGACUUAGUGAUCCGGUGGUUCUGCGUGGAAGGGCCAUCGCUCAACGGAUAAAAGCUACCCUGGGGAUAACAGGCUUAUCUCCCCCAAGAGUCCACAUCGACGGGGAGGUUUGGCACCUCGAUGUCGGCUCAUCACAUCCUGGGGCUGUAGUAGGUCCCAAGGGUUGGGCUGUUCGCCCAUUAAAGUGGUACGCGAGCUGGGUUCAGAACGUCGUGAGACAGUUCGGUCCCUAUCCGUCGCAGGCGUAGGAAAUUUGAGAAGACCUGUCCUUAGUACGAGAGGACCGGGAUGGAUGUACCUCUGGUGUACCAGUUGUCCUGCCAAGGGCAUGGCUGGGUAGCUAUGUACGGAAUGGAUAAGCGCUGAAAGCAUCUAAGCGCGAAGCCAACUUCAAGAUAAGAUUUCCCACCGCAAGGGUAAGACCCCAGAAAGACUAUCUGGUUGAUAGGUCGAAGGUGUAAGUGCAGCAAUGUAUUUAGCUUAUCGAUACUAAUAGGUCGAGGACUUGACCA